GACGAACGCUGGCGGCGUGCUUAACACAUGCAAGUCGAACGGAAAGGCCUCUUUUGGGGGGUACUCGAGUGGCGAACGGGUGAGUAACACGCGUGUAACCUGCCCUUCACUCUGGGAUAACUGCAGGAAACCGGGGCUAAUACCGGAUAGGAGCUCCUGCUGCAUGGGGGGGGUUGGAAAGGUUUUGCGGUUGGGGCUUGGCUCGCGGCUACUUAGCUUGUUGUUGGGGUCUUGGCUUACCAAGGCUUUGACGGGUAUGCGGCUGGCGAGGGGGACCGGCCACAUUGGGGCUGAGAUCCGGCCCCGACUCCUACGGGAGGCAGCAGUGGGGAAUAUUGCACAAUGGGUGGAAGCCUGAUGCAGCAGAGCCGGCGGCGGGAUGACGGCCUUCGGGUUGUAAAACGCUUUCGCUCAUGACGGAGCUGUGAGUGACGGUAGUGGGUGAAGAAGCACCGGCUAACUACGUG
This 467-nucleotide ribosomal RNA is filed under the name uncultured bacterium. RNAcentral's name for it is "partial 16S ribosomal RNA". It matches the Rfam family "Bacterial small subunit ribosomal RNA", at positions 28 to 507 of the family's 1533-position model. The record is from RNAcentral.